AUCGAUACUGCUUCCAGCUCUAUACACUGCUUCUCUCGCUCUUCCGCCCGCAACUAAAACUCUGGAUCCGCGAUAAAUGUUAAGAAAAUAAAGACACCGCUCUAAUUAAAUGGCCAACCACAAGUGUACAGUGCGCGCAAUGUGAUCAGUGAUCAGUGGAGAGUGAUAUCCGAGAUCGGGCCACGAAACCAAGAUCGCCAUUGAGCAAUCCGGGAACGGCGUCUGUUGAAAAGGGACGCUGCUGCAACCAGAAAAAGGAGUGGUAGCUCGCUGCUCUAUGGAUAAAACCUAACAUUAUCUCUGGUGGCCCGCCCCAAAGGAACCUCCGCAUCCGUCUAAAUAUACCUUGAAGUCCGCUCCUGGCGAGCCUCCCCAGUAAAAUCGGCGGAAUCGGGCCAAGAAGAGAAUCACAUGAGGUGAACAAAACAGAUUUGUUGUGCGCAAAUUGCACACUCACA
Molecule: small RNA, 458 nt
Filed under: Drosophila erecta
Lineage: Eukaryota; Metazoa; Arthropoda; Insecta; Diptera; Drosophilidae
Description: GG26942
Source: RNAcentral